This 467-nucleotide ribosomal RNA is filed under the name uncultured bacterium. RNAcentral's name for it is "partial 16S ribosomal RNA". It matches the Rfam family "Bacterial small subunit ribosomal RNA", at positions 28 to 507 of the family's 1533-position model. The record is from RNAcentral.
GACGAACGCUGGCGGCGUGCUUAACACAUGCAAGUCGAACGGAAAGGCCUCUUUCGGGGGGUACUCGAGUGGCGAACGGGUGAGUAACACGUGAGUAACCUGCCCUUGACUUUGGGAUAACUUCAGGAAACUGGGGCUAAUACCGGAUAGGAGCUCCUGCUGCAUGGUGGGGGUUGGAAAGUUUCGGCGGUUGGGGAUGGACUCGCGGCUUAUCAGCUUGUUGGUGGGGUAGUGGCUUACCAAGGCUUUGACGGGUAGCCGGCCUGAGAGGGUGACCGGCCACAUUGGGACUGAGAUACGGCCCAGACGCCUACGGGAGGCAGCAGUGGGGAAUAUUGCACAAUGGGUGGAAGCCUGAUGCAGCAACGCCGUGGGCGGGAGGACGGCCUUCGGGUUGUAAACCGCUUUCGCUCAUGACGAAGCUUUGUGUGACGGUAGUGGGUAAAGAAGCACCGGCUAACUACGUG